CUAGUUUCGGCAAUACAUAUACUAAAAUUGGAACUAUACAGAGAAGAUUAGCAUGGUCCCUGCGCUAGGAUGACACACGAAAUUGUGAAAAGUUCCACAUUUUU
Molecule: small nuclear RNA, 104 nt
Organism: Pieris brassicae (large cabbage white)
Lineage: Eukaryota; Metazoa; Arthropoda; Insecta; Lepidoptera; Pieridae
Source: RefSeq, a predicted model, not a curated record